UUUUUUUUUAGUUUUUUUUUGUUGUUGU
Molecule: small RNA, 28 nt
Filed under: Arabidopsis thaliana (thale cress)
Lineage: Eukaryota; Viridiplantae; Streptophyta; Magnoliopsida; Brassicales; Brassicaceae
Description: ATSL181900
Source: RNAcentral